GUAUCAAAGCUCCGGCGGUACAGGAUGGACCCGCGUCUGAUUAGCUAGUUGGUGAGGUAACGGCUCACCAAGGCGACGAUCAGUAGCCGACCUGAGAGGGUGAUCGGCCACAUUGGAACUGAGACACGGUCCAAACUCCUACGGGAGGCAGCAGUGGGGAAUAUUGCACAAGGGGCGAAAGCCUGAUGCAGCAACGCCGCGUGAGCGAAAAGGGCCUUCGGGUCGUAAAGCUCUGUCCUCAAGGAAGAUAAUGAC
Molecule: ribosomal RNA, 255 nt
Filed under: uncultured bacterium
Lineage: Bacteria
Description: partial 16S ribosomal RNA
Rfam family: Bacterial small subunit ribosomal RNA
Source: RNAcentral